RNAcentral lists this ribosomal RNA (486 nucleotides) under uncultured bacterium. RNAcentral's name for it is "partial 16S ribosomal RNA". It matches the Rfam family "Bacterial small subunit ribosomal RNA", at positions 28 to 523 of the family's 1533-position model. The record is from RNAcentral.
GACGAACGCUGGCUGCGUGCUUAACACAUGCAAGUCGAACGCUGAAGCCCGCAGCUUGCAGUGGGUGGAUGAGUGGCGAACGGGUGAGUAACACGUGAGUAACCUGCCCCUGACUUCGGGAUAAGCCCGGGAAACUGGGUCUAAUACCGGAUACGACCAUCGGACGCAUGUCUGGUGGUGGAAAGUUUUUUCGGUUGGGGAUGGGCUCGCGGCCUAUCAGUUUGUUGGUGAGGUAAUGGCUCACCAAGACGACGACGGGUAGCCGGCCAGAGAGGGCGACCGGCCACACUGGGACUGAGACGCGGCCCAGACUCCUACGGGAGGCAGCAGUGGGGAAUAUUGCACAAUGGGGGAAACCCUGAUGCAGCGACGCAGCGUGCGGGAUGACGGCCUUCGGGUUGUAAACCGCUUUCAGCAGGGAAGAAGCGAAAGUGACGGUACCUGCAGAAGAAGUACCGGCUAACUACGUGCCAGCCGCCGCGGUAA